RNAcentral lists this long non-coding RNA (465 nucleotides) under Olea europaea (common olive). Its description in RNAcentral is "long non-coding RNA (OEUR_LNC003156)". The record is from RNAcentral. Lineage: Eukaryota; Viridiplantae; Streptophyta; Magnoliopsida; Lamiales; Oleaceae.
GAACAAGAAAAUAGGGAGAAAAGCGUAACAAUUUAUUUAUUUAUAUAUCAAUCAUACAAAAAACAAAAACAAAAAUAAAAACAAAAAAAAAAAAGUAAAAAAGAAAGAAAGAAAGAAAGAAAGAUGCUUACAAUAAUAGAAACAAAAUAGUCAAUAAUCACACACUCCAUCGCAUAAACUCAACGUGCUCUCAACGCAACAUUUAAUGAAACAAAAAUGCAACAACAUAAGUGAACACUGAACAAAAAAUGAGAGGCCCAGAAAGUGGGAGGCCAUGGCUAUCGCCAGUGUCCAUAACGGGCGACGAAGACGGUGGCAAUGUGCUGUCUUGUGCGAUAACCACCGAUAAAUAUAGAAUUGCCAUUCCCAUCAAUGCGCCAAAACGUGCCAUUUUUAUUUGCUGGAAAGGAGGAAUUGAAUGAUUUGGCUUGGAAUGAAUAUUUUUUGGUGUGAAUUUAUAGUUGU